AACGAACGCUGGCGGCAGGCUUAACACAUGCAAGUCGAACGCUCCGCAAGGGGAGUGGCAGACGGGUGAGUAACGCGUGGGAACGUGCCCUAAGGUAUGGAAUAACUUCGGGAAACUGAAGCUAACACCAUAUGUGACCGAGAGGUGAAAGUUUAUCGCCUUAGGAUCGGCCCGCGUCAGAUUAGCUAGUUGGUGGGGUAAUGGCCUACCAAGGCGACGAUCUGUAGCUGUUCUGAGAGGAAGAUCAGCCACACUGGGACUGAGACACGGCCAGACUCCUACGGGAGGCAGCAGUGGGGAAUCUUGGACAAUGGGCGCAAGCCUGAUCCAGCCAUGCCGCGUGGAUGAUGAAGGCCCUAGGGUUGUAAAGUCCUUUCGUUGGGGACGAUAAUGACGGUACCCAAAGAAGAAGCUCCGGCUAACUUCGUGCCAGCAGCCGCCGUAA
This 445-nucleotide ribosomal RNA is filed under the name uncultured bacterium. Its description in RNAcentral is "partial 16S ribosomal RNA". It matches the Rfam family "Bacterial small subunit ribosomal RNA", at positions 29 to 523 of the family's 1533-position model. The record is from RNAcentral.